AUGAACGCUAGCGGCAGGCCUAAUACAUGCAAGUCGAACGGUAAGGCCCUUUCGGGGGUACACGAGUGGCGGACGGGUGCGUAACGCGUAUGCAACAUGCCUUCCAGCGGGGGACAUACCAGGGAAACUUGGCGCAGCACCCCAUAGUAUCAAAGGGCCGCAUGGCCUUCUGAUUAAAUCUCCGGAGCUGGGAGAUUGGCAUGCGUGGCAUUAGCUAGUUGGCGGGGUGAAGGCCCACCAAGGCUUCGAUGCCUAGCUGGUCUGAGAGGAUGAUCAGCCACACUGGGACUGAGACACGGCCCAGACUCCUACGGGAGGCAGCAGUAGGGAAUAUUGGACAAUGGGGGGAACCCUGAUCCAGCCAUGCCGCGUGAGGGAAGAAGGUCCUCUGGAUUGUAAACCUCUUUUGGCGGGGGACAAACCUGCGCUACACGCGCAGCUGAGGGUACCCGCAGAAUAAGCACCGGCUAACUCCGU
This 477-nucleotide ribosomal RNA is filed under the name uncultured bacterium. Its description in RNAcentral is "bacterial SSU rRNA". It matches the Rfam family "Bacterial small subunit ribosomal RNA", at positions 29 to 506 of the family's 1533-position model. The record is from RNAcentral.